RNAcentral lists this long non-coding RNA (5669 nucleotides) under Podarcis lilfordi (Lilford's wall lizard). The record is from RNAcentral. Lineage: Eukaryota; Metazoa; Chordata; Lepidosauria; Squamata; Lacertidae.
GCCAGAGCCGGGCUCAGGGCAGCUAACACCAAUAAAAUAAAAUCACAGUAAAAACAUAAUAGGGGAAAAGAGAGGGAGAAAAAAAACCAAUUUAAAAUACAGGUUAAAAUGUAAUUUAAAAUGCAGCCUCAUUUCAAAAGUACCCAUAGAUCAAAACCAUAAGGGGAGGGAAACAUAAGGGUCAGACUGAGUCUAAACCAAAGGCCAGGCGGAACAGCUCUGUCUUGCAGGCCCUGCGGAAAGAUGUCAAGUCCCGCAGGGCCCUAGUCUCUUGGGACAGAGCGUUUCAUCAAGUCGGGGCCAGUAGUGAAAAGGCCCUGGCCCUAGUUGAGACCAACCUAACCACCUUGAGACCUGGGACCUCCAAAGUGUUGUCAUUUGUGGACCUUAAGGUCCUCCGCGGGGCAUACCAGGAGAGGGGGUCCCGUAGGUACGUGGGUCCUAGGCCGCAUAGGGCUUCAAAGGUCAAAACCAGCACCUUAAACCUGACCCUGUACUUCACCGGGAGCCAGUGCAGUUGGUAAAGAUGACCCCUGGACCUCUCUUCCAUGCCAUGAUAUUUCCUGGGGGAGACUAACCAGCCCAAAGCCCAGCGGCCCAGGAAGGCUGAGUCGCUGCUGGGGAAGAAAUGGAAAAGUGGGUGGGAAGAGGAAGGGAAUGGAGUGUCCUGGGAAAGGAUGCCGAGUGGGAAGAUCUCAGGUGGGCGUCUAAGAGAGUUCAGCUGAACGGGGCCACAUGGGGUCUGCAACUCAUCUCCUCUACCGAGUCUUAAACCGUUUGCGUUCAGGUGUCCUUUGACCAGCUACGAUUGGUUCAACAGCCAUUCCUGGACCAGGGAAGCCUUGCCACGGUGGUUCAUGCACUGAUGACUUCAGGACUGAGUUACUGCCAUGCGCUCUAUGUGGAGCUUCCCCCGUGUCUGAUCCAGAAGCUGUAGCGAGUGCGGGAUGCGGCAGCACAAUUGCUGGCCACAGUGAGACCUCGUCUGCAUAGGAAGUCUGGGCUCAGAGGUCUGGUUACCCGUUUGAGUUCAAGCCAUUAAUCUGAGCCCGUGGGGAGGGGUCUCUUUCUGCUCCUCUGGGCAGCCUGUCCAUCUUUGAGAGUUAAUAUAGGAUGGAUAUGAUAGGAAGUGAUGUUUCCACCAUAAGCGGGAGAAAGAGAGCUGCUGCCCUCCCUCACAGGGGUGGCUGUGGACUUGCUCAAGAAAACUGCCCGCCUCGGGGGCAAGGGAGGAUGAGUUUGGAGCCCCUCCCUCCUGGGAGAAGCAUGCGACCAGUGGGCGGAGCCUCUGCGCACACCUGGGGGGCCCUCCUCCCUCCCUCCAGAAUCCCAACUGCCACCUGCCACCUGAGCUGUGGGGGGGUGGGGGUGUCCAGCUUGUUCAAAUCUGCUCAGAAACGGUUAGCGUUAGAAAGAAUGUGUAUGGUGGUAAAUGUUUUGGAAGAUUUAACAAAAAUUAUAUGGGGGGGGAGGGAAACGGUUAGUGGAGAGGGAGGACCCCUACGAAGAGAGGUUGUGGGGAGCAUUGAAGGGACAGAAUACCCAAAUCCUGUCUGUGAAAUCACCCCAGGCUUCAAUAAUCAUACCAGGCCUCAAAACUGUCCAAAAUUCCUUUUGUCUUCUAAAAAUCCAAAACAGCUUUUCUCUGCUUGUCUCUGCUUAUUCUCACAAAAUGCUGUGCAUAGGCAAAAUGUUACUUUUAAAGGCUAAUGAAUAGGCUCUGGCAUUGCCAAGAAUACUCAGGCCUGGGAAAUGAAUCUUAUCUCAUUCGGUUGCAACAUCUUGGACAUGCUGAACCACCAGGGCUCCUCGACCCCUUGGCUCUCACUCCCCUUUCCUGGGAAGGGUGCCAAGAGUCCACAAUAGUCCCAAGACAGCUUUCUGUUCAUGCUCAAAGGAACUCAUGGGCAGGACUCUGGAAGGAGGAGGAGAAAGGAGGAGGGAACUGGAAAGGGGUAUAUAUGUUUGUGCACAUGACUGUGAACUUUGUGCAUGCUUUUUGUGGACUAUCACACUUGCUCCUUCUACCAGUUCAUGGAUGGUAGAAAUAAAACCUUUUUCUCCGAAACUAUUCCUUGAGUGUCUGUUGACUCCCACUUCCCUUUCCCAGGCGCAAUGUUUUUCCCACCCGAGGGCAAAGCCUCAUAAGGCUACAGCAUCAGUGUAAGGGGGUGGGGGGCAGGACAACAGUCCCAGGUUCAUCAUCUACAGAAAAGAACCUAAGGAGACCCGUCUAAUCCAGCAUCCUCUUCGCCCAGGGCCCAACUAGAUGCUCCAAAAGGAAACUGCCAAGCAGGAUUUGCACCCAGAGCCCUCUCCUCCUCCAUGAAUUUGUCCAACCCUCUUUUAAAGCCAUCCAGGUUGGUGGCCAUGGCUGCUUCCUGUGGCAGGGAGUUCCACAGUUAAACUCUGUGCUGCGUGAAUAAGUCCCGUCUUUUAUCUGACCUGAAUCUUCCAACAUUCAGCUUCACUGCAGGUCCACAAGUUCUGGUGUUUUGAGAGAAGCAUAAUUUUAUAAACUUCUAGCAUGUCGCCUCGAACUCGCCUUUCCUCUAGACUCAAAAUGCUGCAAUUCUCAGGGGAGUCGCUCCUCUCGCUCAGUCAUUUUGGAUGCCCUUUUCCGAACCUUUUCAAAUUCUACAAUAUCCUUUUUGGAUAUUGUAGAAUUUGAAAAUAUCCAGAACUGUACGCAGUACUCCAAACUGAGUUACACCAUAGAUUUGUGCCCUCAGUUUUCUGGCUCUCAAGCGCUAACAAUCACUUCCUGAAAAUGAAUCCCAAACCACUUGUUGUUGUUGUCGUCUCAAAAGUCUGGCUGCCAAGAGAGCAUAUUUGUAAGAUUCAGUAGUCCUCACUCCUGGGGUUUGGUUCCUCCCCUGCAAAAAUUUCCCCUUAGGGGUUCAAGUAUGGUGCCUUCACACUAAUAUUCCCAGUUGGUCAGACAUUAUUCAGUACUGCAUUGCAGGACAGAGUUCAAGGAGUCUGUUGAUCUACAUUAGCUGUGAUCUACAUUGGGCAAGAGAUUCCCGCAUUGCAGGCGGUUGGGCCCUUGGGGACCCUUCCUAACCUUGUCGUGAGGAUGAAAUGGGGAGGAGGAGACCCAUGUAAAGCACUUUGAGCUCCUUGCAGGGGAAAAGGUGGCACAGAAAUGUAAUAAAUAAAUAAACUCCAUGAUUCUAUGAUUCCCGCAUUUGGGGUUGGGCUGGAUGACCCUCGGGGUCCCUUAAAUGAUAUUAUCAUUUAGCUGUGACUCCUGCAUUACAAGGGGCUGGCCAUCAUCAUAAUAAUAAUAAUAAUGAUGAUGAUGUUUUAUUUAUACCCCGCCCUCCCUGGCCAGAGCCGGGCUCAGGGCAGCUAACACCAAUAAAAUAAAAUCACAGUAAAAACAUAAUAGGGGAAAAGAGAGGGAGAAAAAAAACCAAUUUAAAAUACAGGUUAAAAUGUAAUUUAAAAUGCAGCCUCAUUUCAAAAGUACCCAUAGAUCAAAACCAUAAGGGGAGGGAAACAUAAGGGUCAGACUGAGUCCAAACCAAAGGCCAGGCGGAACAGCUCUGUCUUGCAGGCCCUGCGGAAAGAUGUCAAGUCCCGCAGGGCCCUAGUCUCUUGGGACAGAGCGUUUCAUCAAGUCGGGGCCAGUAGUGAAAAGGCCCUGGCCCUAGUUGAGACCAACCUAACCACCUUGAGACCUGGGACCUCCAAAGUGUUGUCAUUUCUGGACCUUAAGGUCCUCCGCAGGGCAUACCAGGAGAGGGGGUCCCGUAGGUACGUGGGUCCUAGGCCGCAUAGGGCUUCAAAGGUCAAAACCAGCACCUUAAACCUGACCCUGUACUUCACCGGGAGCCAGUGCAGUUGGUAAAGAUGACCCCUGGACAUCUCUUCCAUGCCAUGAUAUUUCCUGGGGGAGACUAACCAGCCCAAAGCCCAGCGGCCCAGGAAGGCUGAGUCGCUGCUGGGGAAGAAAUGGAAAAGUGGGUGGGAAGAGGAAGGGAAUGGAGUGUCCUGGGAAAGGAUGCCGAGUGGGAAGAUCCCAGGUGGGCGUCUAAGAGAGUUCAGCUGAACGGGGACACAUGGGGUCUGCAACUCAUCUCCUCUACCGAGUCUUAAACCGUUUGCGUUCAGGUGUCCUUUGACCAGCUACGAUUGGCCCAACAGCCAUUCCUGGACCAGGGAAGCCUUGCCACGGUGGUUCAUGCACUGAUGACUUCAGGACUGAGUUACUGCCAUGCGCUCUAUGUGGAGCUUCCCCCGUGUCUGAUCCAGAAGCUGUAGCGAGUGCGGGAUGCAGCAGCACAAUUGCUGGCCACAGUGAGACCUCGUCUGCAUAGGAAGUCUGGGCUCAGAGGUCUGGUUACCCGUUUGAGUUCAAGCCAUUAAUCUGAGCCCGUGGGGAGGGGUCUCUUUCUCCUCCUCUGGGCAGCCUGUCCAUCUUUGAGAGUUAAUAUAGGAUGGAUAUGACAGGAAGUGAUGUUUCCACCAUAAGCGGGAGAAAGAGAGCUGCUGUCCUCCCUCGCAGGGGUGGCUGUGGACCUGCUCAAGAAAACUGCCCGCCUCGGGGGCAAGCCCCUCCCUCCUGGGAGAAGCAUGCGACCAGUGGGCGGAGCCUCUGCGCACACCUGGGGGGCCCUCCUCCCUCCCUCCAGAAUCCCAACUGCCACCUGCGACCUGAGCUGUGGGGGGGUGGGGGUGUCCAGCUUGUUCACAUCUGCUCAGAAACGGUUAGCGUUAAAAAGAAUGUGUAUGGUGGUAAAUGUUUUGGAAGAUUUAACAAAAAUGAUAUGGGGGGGGGAGGGAAACGGUUAGUGGAGAGGGAGGACCCCUACGAAGAGAGGUUGUGGGGAGCAUUGAAGGGACAGAAUACCCAAAUCCUGUCUGUGAAAUCACCCCAGGCUUCAAUAAUCAUACCAGGCCUCAAAACUGUCCAAAAUUCCUUUUGUCUUCUAAAAAUCCAAAACAGCUUUUCUCUGCUUGUCUCUGCUUAUUCUCACAAAAUGCUGUGCAUAGGCAAAAUGUUACUUUUAAAGGCUAAUGAAUAGGCUCUGGCAUUGCCAAGAAUACUCAGGCCUGGGAAAUGAAUCUUAUCUCAUUCGGUUGCAACAUCUUGGACAUGCUGAACCACCAGGGCUCCUCGACCCCUUGGCUCUCACUCCCCUUUCCUGGGAAGGGUGCCAAGAGUCCACAAUAGUCCCAAGACAGCUUUCUGUUCAUGCUCAAAGGAACUCAUGGGCAGGACUCUGGAAGGAGGAGGAGAAAGGAGGAGGGAACUGGAAAGGGGUAUAUAUGUUUGUGCACAUGACUGUGAACUUUGUGCAUGCUUUUUGUGGACUAUCACACUUGCUCCUUCUACCAGUUCAUGGAUGGUAGAAAUAAAACCUUUUUCUCCGAAACUAUUCCUUGAGUGUCUGUUGACUCCCACUUCCCUUUCCCAGGCGCAAUGUUUUCCCCACCCGAGGGCAAAGCCUCAUAAGGCUACAGCAUCAGUGUAAGGGGGUGGGGGGCAGGACAACAGUCCCAGGUUCAUCAUCUACAGAAAAGAACCUAAGGAGACCCGUCUAAUCCAGCAUCCUCUUCGCCCAGGGCCCAACUAGAUGCUCCAAAAGGAAACUGCCAAGCAGGAUUUGCACCCAGAGCCACCCAGAGCCCUCUCCUCCUCCUCCUCCUCCUCCUCCUCC